RNA transcript from Aegilops tauschii subsp. strangulata, 2087 nucleotides. RefSeq lists it as uncharacterized. NCBI's taxonomy places the organism in Eukaryota, Viridiplantae, Streptophyta, Magnoliopsida, Poales, Poaceae. The record is from RefSeq and is a predicted model, not a curated record.
CCCCCUACCAAAGCUGCUGCAACGAAGUGACUGCCUGCCAAUCCCAAAGCCCAUACAGACGCACCAAAAGCCCUCACUCGUGUCCCAGCCUCUUCUUCUUUCUUCCAAGUUCCAAGCCAACCCAAACCCGAAUCCCCCAACCCCGUCCGCCGGUCCAAGGGAAGACGAACCCUAACCUCCAAAUCCCCAACCUCGAUCGAUCGGCCGAACCCUAACCCCCACCACCCAAAUCCCCAGUCCCGGACGGCGACGAUGGCCGUCGGCAACCCCCGCCUCCCCGACUUCGUCCUCCUCGACGCCACCACUUACAUCAGCGAUCUCCGCGACGCAACCACCGCGUGGGCCUUGACGGCGGCGGGCCUCACCAUUCAGGUAUCCUUGGCGGUGGCCGCGCCUCUCCCACUUCUGCGUCUGCUGCCCCGGCCGCGACGAGACCCUCUUCGCCGACGCGCCCGAGGUCGUCUGCUCCGCGGGGGACCACGCCCUCAUCCAGGUCGGCUUCACCACCGGCGACUCGGAUGCGCACUUCAUCUACCGGGCCAGGGCGCCCGACGGCCGGCCGUCGCUUGACCUGAUCCCGGACUUUGAUGAUUAUUCCGACGCAAUGACUCUGAUGCUGCCCCUCGGUUUCGUCUCCCACCGCAAGCACUUGGUCAUAGCGGCUCUGAGCGACGGACCGACGGACUGGCAGUACUAUCUCCACACCCUCAGCUCCGAGCCGCAUUCCACAUGGUCCAAGAAGUUGCUGCAGGUGGAGCUCCCCCAUGGAUUAUCCAGGAAACCGUUUGUGAUCCUCCACGCCAAGGUGAUUGCCCUCGGAGGCGGGCUGCUGGGAUGGGUCGAUCUCUGGGAGGGCAUCCUGAUCUGCGACGUGCUCGAGCCUGGGGCCGCCGCGUUGCGCUUGGUUCCGAUGCCCAAUAUGCUGCCCAGCAACAAAAUCCUCUACGACAACCAUCCUUUUGGUCAGGUGAUUCGGGACGUCACCUUCAGCCGUGGCUACAUCAGGUGCGUCGAGUUUGAGGAGCUGGUAGAACGUAGAAACGUGCCGGCUGUUACUGAUCCCUUUGACAUGGUCGAGCUCCAAGACUCGGAAUGGGCCUUGGAUCCGCCCCAGAAGGUGGAAAACGUUAUCGUUGGUUGGAGGCUCAUCACAUGGUAUAGGACAUUGACUUGGAACUGUUGGCGCAAGGGGAACAGGGUUCAUUCUGAUGAUCUUGGUAUCGUCUCCCUGCCUCAGAUUGGAAGUGGUGGUGCCUCUGUUCUAAAAGUGCCGCUCAAGGUUCUGAAAACAGCUGCUCCUACUCUGCACAGCGACGGCGAUGCUGUUUACCUCGUGUCCUCGCUGCGUGAGCAGGAACAAACUGCAUGGAUUAUCGCUGUUGACACUAGAACGAAGUCGGUGGGAGAGCUUGUGCCAUUCUCUGCAGAGGAGAUGGAUUUUUACGGUCCGAACUACAUUCCAUAUGUGCUGACCUGAUAUAUGGAUGAUAAAUUAGGUGGCUAUAUGCUGUCACUGUUAUCAUAUCUUUUGAGUAGCAAGUGCUCGUGUAUCUGAUGACUUUCUGCUCUCUUUGUACUAGCUGGAGCUCAGGUACAUAUACAAAAUGCUUAUUAUCCCACCCUAUGGAACUUUGAUGGGUCCGAGAAGAAGCAACAGUGACUUCCACAGACAGAAUCUGAAGUCUGAAGUGUUGAUUAUAUACAAGUCAUGGACUUUUAGGAUUAGUGAAAGCUUCAGAUUUCUUGUUUGAGUAACUAUCAAACUAGAAGAUAACACAAUGGGGAUUAUUGUAGCCCAGCAGAACGCAAUCAUCCUUUGAUGGUGUCAGUUGUGCAUGCCGCCACAGCCUUCAUCGCCUUCGGUGACGCUGAUUCUUCUCCAGUCUUGGUUGAGUAGUUUGUUUUUGCGAAGGGGACCUGCUUUUGUUGUUAGUUUCCUGGGAGUGUUUACCUUUUAGACUCGAACUUCUUGUGUUAAUGUUUCUUUCAGAGUAUGCUGUUAGCUUUGCACUAACUUGUAAACUGGGAUCAGCGUACUCAUGUAAAUUCUGUUGUGUUCAAAAUAAUAGUGAUGUUGCCAUGAUGAA